RNAcentral lists this ribosomal RNA (459 nucleotides) under uncultured bacterium. RNAcentral describes it as "partial 16S ribosomal RNA". It matches the Rfam family "Bacterial small subunit ribosomal RNA", at positions 338 to 795 of the family's 1533-position model. The record is from RNAcentral.
CCUACGGGAGGCAGCAGUGAGGAAUAUUGGUCAAUGGUCGGGAGACUGAACCAGCCAAGCCGCGUGAGGGAUGAAGGUACAGAGUAUCGUAAACCUCUUUUGUCAGGGAACAAAGGCGGGGAUGUGUCCCCGGAUGAGUGUACCUGAAGAAAAAGCAUCGGCUAACUCCGUGCCAGCAGCCGCGGUAAUACGGAGGAUGCGAGCGUUAUCCGGAUUUAUUGGGUUAAAAGGGUGCGCAGGCGGUCUGUUAAGUCAGCGGUCAAAGCCCGGGGCUCAACCCCGGCCCGCCGUUGAAACUGGCAGUCUCGAGUUGGAGAGAAGUAUGCGGAAUGCGCGGUGUAGCGGUGAAAGGCAUAGAUAUCGCGCAGAACUCCGAUUGCGAAGGCAGCAUGCCGGCUCCACACUGACGCUGAGGCACGAAAGCGUGGGUAUCGAACAGGAUUAGAUACCCUAGUAGUC